UUGAAAGCAAUUUUGAAAGAAAUGUGUAAAAAUUUGAAUUCGAUUGGUAUUUUCGAAUGAAAAAUUAGAAAUAAAGAGUCAAAGUAUAAAUAGAGAAAGUUUGGUCACGUAGAACCGUGCAGUCGGCAAUUCCGACGAAUCAGAGCACAUCGUAUGGCAAGGCACACUGACAUCGGUGCCACACGAGAGGCCACGCGGGCGAUCCGCGUGCCUCGCAAUCGGACAGUCCAGGAUCGAUCCUGCACAUGUGGACGACUUAUAUUUGUUUUUUUCUUAGGCGUGAUCAGACAGCCGAGAUAAAUCGCGAUGGACG
Molecule: long non-coding RNA, 313 nt
Filed under: Carica papaya (papaya)
Lineage: Eukaryota; Viridiplantae; Streptophyta; Magnoliopsida; Brassicales; Caricaceae
Description: long non-coding RNA (CPAP_LNC007777)
Source: RNAcentral